CAACUUAAGAGUUUGAUCCUGGCUCAGAAUGAACGCUGGCGGCAGGCCUAAUACAUGCAAGUCGAACGCACCUUCGGGUGAGUGGCGCACGGGUGAGGAACACGUGGGAAUAUGCCUUUUGGUACGGAAUAGCUCCGGGAAACUGGAAUUAAUACCGUAUGGUCCCUUCGGGGUAAAGAUUUAUCGCCAAAAGAUUAGCCCGCGUCUGAUUAGCUAGUUGGUGGGGUAACGGCCUACCAAGGCGACGAUCAGUAGCUGGUCUGAGAGGACGAUCAGCCACACUGGGACUGAGACACGGCCCAGACUCCUACGGGAGGCAGCAGUGGGGAAUAUUGGACAAUGGGCGCAAGCCUGAUCCAGCCAUGCCGCGUGAGUGAUGAAGGCC
This 385-nucleotide ribosomal RNA is filed under the name Alphaproteobacteria bacterium. RNAcentral's name for it is "bacterial SSU rRNA". It matches the Rfam family "Bacterial small subunit ribosomal RNA", at positions 1 to 416 of the family's 1533-position model. The record is from RNAcentral. Lineage: Bacteria; Pseudomonadati; Pseudomonadota; Alphaproteobacteria.